RNAcentral lists this small RNA (53 nucleotides) under Sinorhizobium meliloti 2011. RNAcentral's name for it is "putative ncRNA". The record is from RNAcentral. Lineage: Bacteria; Pseudomonadati; Pseudomonadota; Alphaproteobacteria; Hyphomicrobiales; Rhizobiaceae.
AUAGUCGUGGUUGACGAGAACCCGGGGCAGGGCAUCCGGAUUGAGCUCAACAA